UCACCAUAAGCUUUUGAUAGGGCUUUUGUCUUUCCCUUUCUCAUACAUUUUUCUGUCCUAGAGAAAGUGGGAGAUUUAAAAAUUAUGUAUUCUGUCUUUGCUUGGGUACUGUGAAGUCAGGUAUAUUUGUAGAGUUGGGUUAGCGAGGUAGUGACAAUUUCCUUUUAAAGAUGUAUAUCUUCUUUCUCCCCAAUUCUUUCCAAAGAAAUUACUGAUGCUGAGGAAGAUCCUGAGGAUAAAGCAACAAACAGUCUUGCUCUGUUGCCUAGGCUGAAGUGAAGUAGUGUGAUCUCGGCUCGCCACAACCUCUGCCUCCCAGGUUCAAGCGAUUCUCCUGCCUCAGCCUCCCGAGUAGCUGGAACUAUAGGUCAUCUAGGGGAAAACAGAAGUAUGAGGAUUGAGACUUCUUCUGAAAAUCAGUGAGUGGCUCUCUGCAGUGGUUACAGAAAUGCCCCAGCAUGGACUCCCUCCUGUAAACUGGCUCUGCUGUCCCAGCAGUGACGGAAAGCACUCAAUUUGUUUUCUCUUGGAAGAGACAGAGUGGCUGUCAGUUUACUGCAAUAUUUUGGACUGCCUGGAAAAUUCAAUGUACAACAGGAGAAAGGAGAGGCAGGAGACAGACUCUGGAAUAGAAGUCAAAGACAAAGAGGCUCGUAAACAUCAAGAUUCUGGGGCUAAUCUAGCCAUUCACAGCUUUAGAACCAUGGACAGUAAAACUUAAAAUAUAUACUAUGUUCUAACCACCACAAGGUUAUUCACUCUAGCAACUAAAAAAGCACUGGCCUCAGGAUUUGCAACAUUAAAAGUCACAGCUCAUCCACCAUCAGAUGCUAACUGACCCUGCUGUUCCACAAGCCAUAACUACAGCUUUGAUUGGACAAGAGUCUGGUUUCAGUAACUUUCUCCUGAUUAAGAAGACCACUGACCAUUGACUGGUUUUGCCAGUUUACAGAGAUUACACACUUACCUACCUUUGUAUGUAAAAUGAUCUUUUGAUAUAUAAAGCAUAACUGUAGCACAUUUAAAUGUUAAGUAGCCACCCCAAAGUGAACAUGGGUCAUAUGUUACGUGCAUGUUUGUUCAAUAGGCAUGUGUCAGGACCACCUUCAUGAAUAUUCAUAGCUCCUCCUGUAACCAGUUAAAUAUAUAUGUUUAGCCAACCUCUUCAGCAUAAAGCUCCCACCCCAAGCCCUCCUUUGAAGGGCCUGUCUCUAGUUUUGCCUGGAUGGCCACCUUGCAGGCUGUAACCCUUUGGAAGAAAUAAAGUCUCCUCUCUCCUUUUCAAAACUUAAAAAUUGUGAAUUUUU
This 1307-nucleotide long non-coding RNA is filed under the name Homo sapiens (human). RNAcentral's name for it is "HSALNT0347397". The record is from RNAcentral. Lineage: Eukaryota; Metazoa; Chordata; Mammalia; Primates; Hominidae.